Zalophus californianus (California sea lion) is the source of this 263-nucleotide long non-coding RNA. RefSeq lists it as uncharacterized. The transcript is spliced from 3 exons. The record is from RefSeq and is a predicted model, not a curated record. Lineage: Eukaryota; Metazoa; Chordata; Mammalia; Carnivora; Otariidae.
CAGGAGGGAGAUUUCAUCCAUGCAGCUGGCUGAAAAGCUCCACCAGUCUUCUGAUCAGUUUAAGACACAUCCGCAGGAGAGAAAACUAGAAUUGAGCAGAAGCCACAAAGUGGUAACCCAGAGCAUGGCCUGGGAUCUACUUCAAUUGUUUCAAGAAGCCCAAAGCUAUCCAGCAUGAUGAAAUCAUGUGUAAACUGUUUGAGAAGUGGUUAACAAGUAUCUACAAGCCAAGGUUCCCCAGCGGCCAGGAGCACCGAGGCCAG